UCCUACGGGAGGCAGCAGUAGGGAAUCUUCCACAAUGGGCGAAAGCCUGAUGGAGCAACGCCGCGUGAGUGAUGAAGGUUUUCGGAUCGUAAAACUCUGUUGUUAGGGAAGAACACCCGGGAGAGGAUCCCGGUUUGACGGUACCUGACGAGAAAGCCCCGGCUAACUACGUGCCAGCAGCCGCGGUAAU
This 190-nucleotide ribosomal RNA is filed under the name uncultured bacterium. Its description in RNAcentral is "partial 16S ribosomal RNA". It matches the Rfam family "Bacterial small subunit ribosomal RNA", at positions 337 to 524 of the family's 1533-position model. The record is from RNAcentral.